RNAcentral lists this ribosomal RNA (433 nucleotides) under uncultured bacterium. Its description in RNAcentral is "partial 16S ribosomal RNA". It matches the Rfam family "Bacterial small subunit ribosomal RNA", at positions 29 to 507 of the family's 1533-position model. The record is from RNAcentral.
AACGAACGCUGGCGGCAUGCCUAACACAUGCAAGUCGAACGAGACCUUCGGGUCUAGUGGCGCACGGGUGCGUAACGCGUGGGAACCUGCCCUUAGGUUCGGAAUAACUCCCCGAAAGGGGUGCUAAUACCGGAUAAUGUCUUCGGACCAAAGAUUUAUCGCCUUUGGAUGGGCCCGCGUUGGAUUAGCUAGUUGGUAGGGUAAAAGCCUACCAAGGCGACGAUCCAUAGCUGGUCUGAGAGGAUGAACAGCCACACUGGGACUGAGACACGGCCCAGACUCCUACGGGAGGCAGCAGUGGGGAAUAUUGGACAAUGGGCGAAAGCCUGAUCCAGCAAUGCCGCGUGAGUGAUGAAGGCCUUAGGGUUGUAAAGCUCUUUUACCCGGGAUGAUGAUGACAGUACCGGGAGAAUAAGCUCCGGCUAACUCCGUG